This 460-nucleotide ribosomal RNA is filed under the name uncultured bacterium. RNAcentral describes it as "partial 16S ribosomal RNA". It matches the Rfam family "Bacterial small subunit ribosomal RNA", at positions 338 to 795 of the family's 1533-position model. The record is from RNAcentral.
CCUACGGGAGGCAGCAGUGAGGAAUAUUGGUCAAUGGGCGGAAGCCUGAACCAGCCAAGUCGCGUGAGGGAAUAAGGCCCUACGGGUCGUAAACCUCUUUUGCCGGGGAGCAAGGGCGGGGACGUGUCCCGUCCCGGAGAGUACCCGGAGAAAAAGCAUCGGCUAACUCCGUGCCAGCCGCCGCGGUAAUACGGAGGAUGCGAGCGAUAUCCGGAUUUAUUGGGUUUAAAGGGUGCGUAGGCGGGCUUUUAAGUCAGCGGUAAAAAUUCGGGGCUCAACCCCGUCCGGCCGUUGAUACUGGGGGCCUUGAGUGGGCGAGAAGAAGGCGGAAUGCGUGGUGUAGCGGUGAAAUGCAUAGAUAUCACGCAGAACCCCGAUUGCGAAGGCAGCCUUCCGGCGCCCUACUGACGCUGAGGCACGAAAGUGCGGGGAUCAAACAGGAUUAGAUACCCUAGUAGUC